GAUGAACGCUGGCGGCGUGCCUAAUACAUGCAAGUCGAGCGAACGGACGAGAAGCUUGCUUCUCUGAUGUUAGCGGCGGACGGGUGAGUAACACGUGGAUAACCUACCUAUAAGACUGGGAUAACUUCGGGAAACCGUAGCUAAUACCGGAUAAUAUUUUGAACCGCAUGGUUCAAAAGUGAAAGACGGUCUUGCUGUCACUUAUAGAUGUAUCCGCGCUGCAUUAGCUAGUUGGUAAGGUAACGGCUUACCAAGGCAACGAUGCAUAGCCGACCUGAGAGGGUGAUCGGCCACACUGGAACUGAGACACGGGCCAGACUCCGACGGGAAGCAGCAGUAGGAAAUCUUCCGCAAUGGGCGAAAGCCUGACGGAGCAACGCCGCGUGAGUGAUGAAGGUCUUCGGAUCGUAAAACUCUGUUAUUAGGGAAGAACAUAUGUGUAAGUCACUGUGCACAUCUUGACGGUACCUAAUCAGAAAGCCACGGCUAACUACGUG
This 497-nucleotide ribosomal RNA is filed under the name uncultured bacterium. RNAcentral describes it as "partial 16S ribosomal RNA". It matches the Rfam family "Bacterial small subunit ribosomal RNA", at positions 28 to 507 of the family's 1533-position model. The record is from RNAcentral.